Molecule: long non-coding RNA, 4327 nt
Organism: Tyto alba (common barn owl)
Lineage: Eukaryota; Metazoa; Chordata; Aves; Strigiformes; Tytonidae
Exons: 2
Source: RefSeq, a predicted model, not a curated record
AAAAAAAGGAAGGUGCAAGCUCGCUACUCCUGUUCUGUGUAUGGCACUGGUAGAAUUCACUGUGCAACCCCGCGGUCAGUGAAUUACCAUAGGGCCAUAAACAGAGCAGAGAAAGACCCGCGAGCCCCGCGGGGCCAUCGCCGACGUCACCUGGCCCGUUUUGGCACUAGCACAUUUUUGCUUUUAUUUGUAGCUUUUGAGCAAUUAUGUGUAGUGCCAAUAUGGGAGGAGGUGGAGAGAGCAGCGCCGGGGCGGGGGACGGACGAGCAUCGGUGCUGGGGAGGUGGGGUCAGCGAGGGGGGAUGCUGCUGGGGGUGGGAAGGUGGAACCCACCCUCCCCAAGUUGCUGGGGUGAUGGAAGGGUGGCCGUCAGCCCCCAUUCAUGGGUGUCAUUGAGGGGGUGUCCAGCCCAACGUGGUGGCCCAGCCUGUGGUGGCAUCUCAGCCAGGCCAUGUCCCCAUGGUGGCUGUCACAAGGGGGAUGGGACCCCCCCCCCCUUCCCCACGCCUUGUCCCCUCCCUCGCCACAGUGGUGGCAUCUCCCCAGGGUUGAGAUGAGCAUCUCCACAGGGGUUGAGCAUGGAGGUUUCUGGCUGGAUGGAUGAAAUUAUAUAUAUAUAUAUUUUUUUCCUAUUUUUUGCAGCUUUCCAGACCUGGCACCAUGGCCAUGUGUGGGUGUGUGUGUCCCCCCCCCCGGCCCUGUCCCCAUGCCAGGGCCUGGCUGCUGAGAUGGUGCCGGCGGUGCCCGGCCCCAGGGCUGCCUUUGGCAAUGGUAGAACUCACACUGGUGCGGUAGCAGGAUCCGGUGGUUCUAGACUUGCCAACUACAGCCCCGGGGAACCGCCGCGGACACGGACCCCUGGCACCCAUGGGUGCAGCCGGGCACCCUGUGCAUCCCCCCCCCCCCCCCCAUCCCCCCUCCCAGAGCUCUGCUGCCAGGCUGGGAGGGUGCUCAUGGGGUCCUGCUCCAUCCAGUAUGGAUUUUGGGGAGGGGGGGGAUGCAGUGGGUGUCUGUGUGCAUGUGGCACAGGGGGGUGGUGAUGGUGUGACCCCCCUCCCCGUCAAGGAGGGGGUCUGGCAUCUCAGGGUGUCUCCAUGAAGGGGGGGGGGGGGAUGACACAGGGACCUGCUGGAUACUGGUCAUUUGAGCAGCACGGCCGCGUGUCCCCGCGUGACUCCGGGCGUUAAGGGCUGAUCCGGCCCCAUGGUGUGGGCAGAGCAGCUUGGAGCGGGGGGGGGGUGGAAUUAGGUGACCAGCUCCUGCCCCAGAUCCAGCCCUGACGCAGCCCCCCCACUUCGGGGAAGGGAGUAAGGGGGGAGACUGAGGCACUGGUGAAAGCAGCUGCCACAUGUCCCCAGGUGCAGGAGGGAUGGGGACAGCUUUUAGGGAGGACGGGGGUAGCACGGGAAGGGGCAGCUCUCUGAGACCUUGGGGGGUGGGGGGGUUGUGCACACCCCCUUCACCCCCCCCACCGUCCCUCCCGGGGCGGCUGGUUGGGAUAUGUAGGGCAGCGCUGGGUGAUUACGGGGCUUUCGGCGUAAGCCCGCGGAGAUUGGAUCACUCUGGAUUAGGCUGCACGCUCAAAUCAUCCUCCCUGCACCGGGGGGGGGUGGGGAGGGACAGACAGACGGACGGAUGGACGGGGUCCCCAUCACCCUCCCAGGGUAGGUGGGGGGCUGGGGCGCACAGGUUGUCUGUGUGUCUGUCCAUUCAUCCGUGUGGUCAUCCAGCUAGCAAAUGUCCAUCUGUCCGUUCAACCAGCUGCCUGGCCGUUGUCUGUACAGCUAGUCAUCCCUCUGUCUGUCUGUCUGUCCAAGCCUUUGAACCAUCCAUCUACCCAUCCAGCUGUCUACCCAUCCAGCCGUCUGUCCAGGCAGCCAGCCGUUGCUCCAUCUACCAGUCCGUCCAUCCAUCCAUCCAUCCAUCCAUCCAUCCAUCCAUCCAUCCAUCCAUCCAUCCAUCCAUCCAUCCAUCCAUCCAUCCAUCCAUCCAUCCAUCCAUCCAUCCAUCCAUCCAUCCAUCCACCCACCCACCAGUCAGUCUGUCCAUCCCUCCCUCCCUCCUACCGACUCAGCAAUAGGGCCCUGCCCCGAGGUGGGGGGGGCAGGGGUGGAGCAUCCCCCCGCCCCACCCCUCCCAUUAGGCCACACCCCCACGAGAAGCCCCGCCCCUCCCCAAAGGCUCCUCCCCCAGCAGUCACCCAAAGGGGAGCUGGUGCUCCUGGGGACCACCCCACCCCACCCCCGGCACCUGCACCCUAUUGGGGAUCACCCCGAGACCCCCCCCCCCACCCUGCCCCUUCCCAGCUGCACCGGCUGGGCUCAUCCUGAGCACCCAGCAGCACUUUGGGGCUGAAAUCCUGCAAUUUGGAGCCAAAUCCUGCCAUUUGGGGCCCACCCUGGGCGAAGCAGUGCCGGGGUGGAGGGGGGGGUGGGAUGGGGUAGAAGCAACAAACCCCCACACGGGAGCCCACACUUGGGGGGCACCCCCCCCUUCUCUCCCCAGUGCCUGGGCGACCCCCACAUAGUGCCUGGGCUGGGGAGGGGGCGCAGGAUCGGCCCCCCCCCCAGCUUCUCCCCAACUGGGAAAGACGAAGCGGAGCUUGGGGGGGCCGGCGGGAGCCGCCUCAGCGGGAGGCCCCGACCUGCUUAUUAAAGACCGAUUAACGAAGAUUAAAACCUCCCGGCAGCGUCUGCCGGGCCGAGCCCCUUCCCCCACCAGCGUGGUGGCGGAUCCGGGGCCCCUUUGAGGGACCCCCAGCCCGGCCAGGGGGUGUCCUGGGGUCCCCCGGGGUACCGGCAUCCCCAGGACGCGGCGCUCGGCCGAGGAUCGAGGACACCCACGAGCAUCCGCGGGUGCUCGGGUUACAAGAAACCCGCAGGAUUCACGGAGCCAGGGCCGCAACCGUCCCGCGGCCGGAGUUCAAAUAAAGCUGCUGAAACCCAUCGCUCCGCUUCCCCGCUCCUCCUUGGGUUUGCGCCCCCGGAUAAUGCGCCCCGCUUUGUCGGGGGGGAGGGACGGGACGGGGGGGGGACGGGACGGGACGGACGGCGGUGGCUGCCGCAGCUGAAAACGGAGGAAUUCGCCCCAAAAGGCCAGCUCAGCUCCGGGGUGGGAACACCGGGGGGGGGAUGCUCAAGCAACCCCCUGGUUUCCACCCGGCCCCAGGUUGGAAAAGGAAGGAGGUGAAAUUGCACAAAGGCAGAAUUAAACCCCUAAAAUCAUCCCGGCAUUGAGUGGUUCCUCCUCUCCAGCCCCCAACGUCGCAGCAGGGCAGAGCGGAGCCCCAAAACCCCCACUGAGGAGGGGGGGGGAAGGCAGGAUACACCAAACCCCCCCAAAACAGAAGAGCCAGACCACAGGGGUAAACACAUUUGUAACAAUUUAUUGAAUGAGGCAAUAAUAGACACUGGGAAAACAAGGGGGGGGGUCCAUGCUCUGCUACUUGCCUGGUUUUUGUCUUUUUUGGGGGGGGGGGGAGGGGGAGGGCAGGGGGGAACCUCUCGGACUAAAAGAACGUCAUUGCCAAAGAAACACUGACUUGAAAGCCACCGACAUCUUCACGACGACAAUAAAAAAAUAAUAAUUAAAAAAAAUUAAUAAUAACAAAUCGGAGAACCAGGACUGUUUCUAUGGAAAGAUCUCCCUCCCCUCAUUAAAGUACAGAAGAAAGGUAUACAAAGAACAUCUGAUAUUUUUCCAUAUAAAACAAGUAAAUACAAGAAUCUGAAAACUUUCUUGAAGGCGGAGCGAGAUGUGAAGAACUUUGUUAAUGGCCACUUGGAAAUAAUAAUAAUUAAAAAAAAAAAAAAAAAAUUAAAUACCAUGCACAACUGCACGCGCGGCGGGGCUGUGGCUGACGGAAGGUUCGGCUGGGGGCUGCCGCUGCGACGCGAGGGUUUAGCCUAUGGGAAAGCCAAGUAAAUUUGCCAAAAAAACCCCUCCGAGGCCUUUUUUUAAACUCUCCUGGAGAGGUUUUUGGGGUGAUGGGGAUUCAAAGUCCCCAGCAGCAGCAGAGCUGUGCUGGGAGAUGUACGCAGGGCAGGAGCAGGGGGGUGGUUUGGGGGGUGGAGGGGUGCAGAGGGGUCCCCCCGAAGGGAAGGGUUUGCGCUCGCAUCCCCUCCGCUGCCUUCAAGGGAAGAUUUUCCUGCGGGAAUCGGAAUCUCCAGGGCCGGGCAGGGGAGGAUGGGGGGGUCCUGGGGGGUGGCAGCGGGGCUCCUGGGCGAGGGAAACGUGGGGAAGGGGGAGGCCCCGCAGCCAGAGCCCCUCUGGAGGCGUUUCCACUCCGGUCUAGAUCCACGAAAACGGGAAAUAAUAAUAAUAAUAA